Molecule: ribosomal RNA, 495 nt
Filed under: uncultured bacterium
Lineage: Bacteria
Description: bacterial LSU rRNA
Rfam family: Bacterial large subunit ribosomal RNA
Source: RNAcentral
GGGUGAAAUGCCAAUCGAACGUGGAGAUAGCUGGUUCUCCCCGAAAUAGCUUUAGGGCUAGCCUCUGGCAGCACAUAGAGACGGUAGAGCACUGAUCAGGCAAGGGAGCGUAAAGCUUACCGACCCUAGUCAAACUGCGAAUGGCUCUAUGAAGAACCAGGGAGUCAGGCUGCGAGUGAUAAGACCCGUAGCCAAAAGGGAAACAGCCCAGAACGCCGACUAAGGUCCCCAAUGCUGUACUAAGUGGAAAAGGAUGUAGAACUUCCCAAACAACCAGGAUGUUGGCUCAGAAGCAGCCACCAUUCAAAGAGUGCGUAAUAGCUCACUGGUCGAGAGGCUCUGCGCCGAAAAUAUCCGGGGCUCAAGUACAGAACCGAAGUCGCGUCAGCAGCGAAAGCUGCUGGGUAGGGGAGCGUUCCAUGGGCGUAGAAGGCUGACCGGAAGGACAGCUGGAGCGCAUGGAAGUGAGAAUGCUGGUAUGAGUAGCGAAAAGAU